Molecule: ribosomal RNA, 1513 nt
Filed under: metagenome
Description: bacterial LSU rRNA
Rfam family: Bacterial large subunit ribosomal RNA
Source: RNAcentral
GGUUAAUAUUCCUGCACUUUUCUAUAGUGCGAUGUGGGGACGGAGAAGGUUAGGUCUACCGGGCGUUGGUUGUCCCGGGGAAAGGCGGUAGGCAUGGGUCUUAGGCAAAUCCGGGACCCUUUAUGCCGAGCACCGAGACGAGCCCUUUUGGGCGAAGUGACUGACACCACGCUUCCAGGAAAAGCCACUAAGCUUCAGCUAUGGAAAAACCGUACCGUAAACCGACACUGGUAGGCAGGGUGAGAAUCCCAAGGCGCUUGAGAGAACUCGGGUGAAGGAACUAGGCAAAAUGGCACCGUAACUUCGGGAGAAGGUGCGCCCUUUGGCGUGGUCACAUGCGUGACUGAGCGUUGAAGGGUCGCAGUAACCUGGCCGCUGCGACUGUUUAUCAAAAACACAGCACUCUGCAAACACGAAAGUGGACGUAUAGGGUGUGACGCCUGCCCGGUGCUGGAAGGUUAAUUGAUGGGGUCAGCCGCAAGGCGAAGCUCUUGAUCGAAGCCCCAGUAAACGGCGGCCGUAACGAUAACGGUCCUAAGGUAGCGAAAUUCCUUGUCGGGUAAGUUCCGACCUGCACGAAUGGCGUAACGACAGCGGCGCUGUCUCCACCCGAGACUCAGUGAAAUUGAAUUCGCUGUGAAGAUGCAGCGUUCCCGCGGCAAGACGGAAAGACCCCGUGAACCUUUACUAUAGCUUUACACUGAACGUUGAGUUCUUCUGUGUAGGAUAGGUGGGAGGCUUUGAAGCGCAGACGCCAGUUUGCGUGGAGCCAUCCUUGAAAUACCACCCUGAAGUGCUUGACGUUCUAACCUAGGCCCGUAAUCCGGGUCAGGGACCGUGUAUGGUGGGUAGUUUGACUGGGGCGGUCUCCUCCCAAAGAGUAACGGAGGAGCACGAAGGUACGCUCAGCGCGGUCGGACAUCGCGCACUGUGUGCAAUGGCAUAAGCGUGCUUGACUGCGAGAUCGACGGAUCAAGCAGGUACGAAAGUAGGUCAUAGUGAUCCGGUGGUUCUGUAUGGAAGGGCCAUCGCUCAACGGAUAAAAGGUACUCCGGGGAUAACAGGCUGAUACCGCCCAAGAGUUCAUAUCGACGGCGGUGUUUGGCACCUCGAUGUCGGCUCAUCACAUCCUGGGGCUGUAGCCGGUCCCAAGGGUAUGGCUGUUCGCCAUUUAAAGUGGUACGCGAGCUGGGUUCAGAACGUCGUGAGACAGUUCGGUCCCUAUCUGUCGUGGGCGUUGGAGAUUUGAGGGGGGCUGCUCCUAGUACGAGAGGACCGGAGUGGACGUUCCGCUGGUGUUCGGGUUGUCAUGCCCAUGGCAUUGCCCGGUAGCUAUGAACGGAAGUGAUAACCGCUGAAAGCAUCUAAGCGGGAAGCACGCCCCAAGAUGAGAUCUCCCGAGAGCUUGACUCUCCUUAAGGCACCAUGAAGACUACGUGGUUGAUAGGUCAGGUGUGGAAGUGCAGCAAUGCAUUGAGCUAACUGAUACUAAUGAGCCGUGAGGCUUGACCAA